CCAAGCUCAAAUUCCAGGAGCUCGUCUGCAGCCUCAGCGACAUCCACCUGAUGGAGAAGGAGCUGGCGCAGGAGCAGCAGAGGAGCGGCCGCCACCGAGCCCCCAAAAUCCUGGAGCCCUUCCCGGAGCCGCCUCCCAAGCCCAGUCGGCCCAUGUACAAGCCGCCAUCCCAUAAUAACCUGCUGGCGCCCCAGCUGCAGUUCCAGGUGAGGA
This is a non-coding RNA of Zonotrichia albicollis (white-throated sparrow), 213 nucleotides long. NCBI's taxonomy places the organism in Eukaryota, Metazoa, Chordata, Aves, Passeriformes, Passerellidae. The record is from RefSeq and is a predicted model, not a curated record.